This 442-nucleotide long non-coding RNA is filed under the name Sorghum bicolor (sorghum). RNAcentral's name for it is "long non-coding RNA (SBIC_LNC002524)". The record is from RNAcentral. Lineage: Eukaryota; Viridiplantae; Streptophyta; Magnoliopsida; Poales; Poaceae.
CCAAGAUCAAGAUCACUUACACCCACAUAUAUCAUGCUACUUCUACCCUAGGAGUACACAAAAACAUGCCUUUCCACCCCAAAAUCUAUCUCCUACACUAGGAGAAGAUCCAAAAAAAUUGUUAGAUUUCCAAAUAAAUGCUCCAAGAUUGUGAUUUAUCUCUUCUCCAAGUUUAUUGUAUCCUAAGUAAGAGGUAGGAGAUUCUUUGUAAAAUAAGAGAGAAAAAAUAGAAAUAAAAAAGUCUAUGAUCUCUAUGCCUAGAAGUUCAUCAUUGUCACUAAAGAAAGGAGGAAGAAGAUAUUCCAAGACCUCCACAACAAAGUUCUUUAUAAAUUCUUCAGUUGGAGGCAGUCUCUCCAGAAGAAAAGUAGAAUUACGUUAGCCACCAAAUAUUUCCACACACACACAUGCACAUCUUGAUCUAAGAAUAUGGUCUCCCCUC